Molecule: ribosomal RNA, 340 nt
Filed under: uncultured Alphaproteobacteria bacterium
Lineage: Bacteria; Pseudomonadati; Pseudomonadota; Alphaproteobacteria
Description: bacterial SSU rRNA
Rfam family: Bacterial small subunit ribosomal RNA
Source: RNAcentral
GGCGAUCGGGUGAGUAACACGUGAGAGAAUCUCCCAUACACUCUGGGAUAACUCCGGGAAACGGUGUGCUAAUACCGGAUAUGACGCCUUGAUCGCAUGAGCGGGGAUGUGACAGUUUAUCGGUUGAAGAUGACAUGCGCGGCCUAUCAGCUGGUUGGUCGAGGUAAUGGCUCACCAAGGCGACGAUAGUAGCUGGUCUGAGAGGACGACCAGCCACACUGGGACUGACACGGCCCAGACUCCUACGGGAGGCAGCAGUGGGGAAUAUUGGACAAUGGGCGAAAGCCUGAUCCAGCAAUGCCGCGUGAGUGAUGAAGGCCUUAGCGUUGUAAAGCUCUUU